GACGAACGCUGGCGGCGUGCUUAACACAUGCAAGUCGAGCGAUGAAGCUCCUUCGGGAGUGGAUUAGCGGCGGACGGGUGAGUAACACGUGGGUAACCUGCCUCAUAGAGGGGAAUAGCCUUUCGAAAGGAAGAUUAAUACCGCAUAAGAUUGUAGCUUCGCAUGGAGCAGCAAUUAAAGGAGUAAUCCGCUAUGAGAUGGACCCGCGUCGCAUUAGCUAGUUGGUGAGGUAACGGCUCACCAAGGCGACGAUGCGUAGCCGACCUGAGAGGGUGAUCGGCCACAUUGGGACUGAGACACGGCCCGGACUCCUACGGAAGGCAGCAGUGGGGAAUAUUGCACAAUGGGGGAAACCCUGAUGCAGCAACGCCGCGUGAGUGAUGACGGUCUUCGGAUUGUAAAGCUCUGUCUUCAGGGACGAUAAUGACGGUACCUGAGGAGGAAGCCACGGCUAACUACGUGCCAGCCGCCGCAGUAA
This 478-nucleotide ribosomal RNA is filed under the name uncultured bacterium. RNAcentral describes it as "partial 16S ribosomal RNA". It matches the Rfam family "Bacterial small subunit ribosomal RNA", at positions 28 to 523 of the family's 1533-position model. The record is from RNAcentral.